GUGCAGGAUAAGUUACAACAUGGCUGUGUGGUGCUGUGCUGUCGUUCCCCCUGCCAACAGCAACUCGCUUCCUACUAUCCCCUGUUGGCCUCGCUGUCACGGCCGCCAGGGACGCUUGGUCACGAACAC
RNAcentral lists this small nucleolar RNA (129 nucleotides) under Callorhinchus milii (elephant shark). Its description in RNAcentral is "Small nucleolar RNA SNORA63 (ENSCMIG00000007127.1)". Lineage: Eukaryota; Metazoa; Chordata; Chondrichthyes; Chimaeriformes; Callorhinchidae. The record is from RNAcentral.